Molecule: ribosomal RNA, 478 nt
Filed under: uncultured bacterium
Lineage: Bacteria
Description: partial 16S ribosomal RNA
Rfam family: Bacterial small subunit ribosomal RNA
Source: RNAcentral
GACGAACGCUGGCGGCGUGCUUAACACAUGCAAGUCGAACGGUAAGGCCCUUCGGGGUACACGAGUGGCGAACGGGUGAGUAACACGUGGGUGAUCUGCCCUGCACUUCGGGAUAAGCCUGGGAAACUGGGUCUAAUACCGGAUAGGACCCUGGGAUGCAUGUCCUGGGGUGGAAAGCUUUUGCGGUGCGGGAUGGGCCCGCGGCCUAUCAGCUUGUUGGUGGGGUGAUGGCCUACCAAGGCGACGACGGGUAGCCGGCCUGAGAGGGUGACCGGCCACACUGGGACUGAGAUACGGCCCAGACUCCUACGGGAGGCAGCAGUGGAGAAUAUUGCACAAUGGGCGCAAGCCUGAUGCAGCGACGCCGCGUGAGGGAUGACGGCCUUCGGGUUGUAAACCUCUUUCAGCACCGACGAAGCGCAAGUGACGGUAGGUGCAGAAGAAGGACCGGCCAACUACGUGCCAGCCGCCGCAGUAA